CUCGAUCAAAUACCAAUUAGGAUUUAUCAGCUAAUAAAUGAUAAUUCAUAUUCGAAGUUGGGAGAAAAUUGCAGCCAAUUAUAACUAAUGUCAAUUGCUAUUUUUUUUCUGGUAUAAAUUAGCUGCAAUGUCACAUCAUGUUCUUUAUGGUCUCUACGUAUUUGUAAUUAAAAUUCAUUCUUAUGCAUCCAAUGUGUAACAGUAUUAUCUAAUUUCUGUGAAGUCUGAUUGAUAUGGCAUCCUACUCUAUACUCACUUUUUG
Molecule: long non-coding RNA, 262 nt
Filed under: Glycine max (soybean)
Lineage: Eukaryota; Viridiplantae; Streptophyta; Magnoliopsida; Fabales; Fabaceae
Description: long non-coding RNA (GMAX_LNC002673)
Source: RNAcentral